This 495-nucleotide ribosomal RNA is filed under the name uncultured bacterium. RNAcentral describes it as "partial 16S ribosomal RNA". It matches the Rfam family "Bacterial small subunit ribosomal RNA", at positions 28 to 507 of the family's 1533-position model. The record is from RNAcentral.
GACGAACGCUGGCGGCGUGCCUAAUACAUGCAAGUAGAACGCUGAAGGAGGAGCUUGCUUCUCUGGAUGAGUUGCGAACAGGUGAGUAACGCGUAGGUAACCUGCCUGGUAGCGGGGGAUAACUAUUGGAAACGAUAGCUAAUACCGCAUAAUAGUAGAUGUCGCAUGACAUUUGCUUAAAAGGUGCAAUUGCAUCACUACCAGAUGGACCUGCGUUGUAUUAGCUAGUUGGUGAGGUAACGGCUCACCAAGGCAACGAUACAUAGCCGACCUGAGAGGGUGAUCGGCCACACUGGGACUGAGACACGGCCCAGACUCCUACGGGAGGCAGCAGUAGGGAAUCUUCGGCAAUGGACGGAAGUCUGACCGAGCAACGCCGCGUGAGUGAAGAAGGUUUUCGGAUCGUAAAGCUCUGUUGUAAGAGAAGAACGAGUGUGAGAGUGGAAAGUUCACACUGUGACGGUAUCUUACCAGAAAGGGACGGCUAACUACGUG